GACGAACGCUGGCGGCGUGCUUAACACAUGCAAGUCGAGCGGCAAGGCCCUUUCGGGGGUACACGAGCGGCGAAACGGGUGAGUAACACGUGGGUGACCUGCCCUUAGCUCUGGGAUAAAGCCUGGGAAAACUGGGUCUAAUACCGGAUAUGACUCCAUAAACGCAUGUUGUGGGGUGGAAAAGCCUUGUGCGGCUAGGGAUGGGCCCGCGGCCUAUCAGCUUGUUGGUGGGGCGAUGGCCUACCAAAGGCGACGACGGGUAGCCGGCCUGAGAGGGCGACCGGCCACACUGGGACUGAGACACGG
This 306-nucleotide ribosomal RNA is filed under the name uncultured bacterium. RNAcentral's name for it is "bacterial SSU rRNA". It matches the Rfam family "Bacterial small subunit ribosomal RNA", at positions 28 to 329 of the family's 1533-position model. The record is from RNAcentral.